This 497-nucleotide ribosomal RNA is filed under the name uncultured bacterium. RNAcentral's name for it is "partial 16S ribosomal RNA". It matches the Rfam family "Bacterial small subunit ribosomal RNA", at positions 28 to 507 of the family's 1533-position model. The record is from RNAcentral.
GAUGAACGCUGGCGGCGUGCCUAAUACAUGCAAGUCGAGCGAACAGACGAGGAGCUUGCUCCUCUGACGUUAGCGGCGGACGGGUGAGUAACACGUGGAUAACCUACCUAUAAGACUGGGAUAACUUCGGGAAACCGGAGCUAAUACCGGAUAAUAUAUUGAACCGCAUGGUGCAAUAGUGAAAGACGGUUUUGCUGUCACUUAUAGAUGGAUCCGCGCCGCAUUAGCUAGUUGGUAAGGUAACGGCUUACCAAGGCAACGAUGCGUAGCCGAACUGAGAGGGUGAUCGGCCACACUGGAACUGAGCCACGGUCCAGACUCCUACGGGAGGCAGCAGUAGGGAAUCUUCCGCAAUGGGCGAAAGCCUGACGGAGCAACGCCGCGUGAGUGAUGAAGGUCUUCGGAUCGUAAAACUCUGUUAUUAGGGAAGAACAAAUGUGUAAGUAACUAUGCACGUCUUGACGGUACCUAAUCAGAAAGCCACGGCUAACUACGUG